AGACCAUACACCAGACGGGCAAAGAAAUUUUGCUGGGAAAGCAAAAGAAAAAAAAAAGCAGGUUUAGUUCCCAAAGCUAGAAAUUGUGGUUCUCCUGCCUCGUUGUCUUGGUGUUCCCAGGAUGGAAGGACAGCGCUGCCUCUUUGCUUUUCACCCCAGGACAGAUUAAACCAGAAGCUGGCCAUGUUUGUUUAACCUCAAGCUUUGCUGAACUGGCAUGCCUGAACAGCCCUCAGCACUGCCAGAGCCGCAGAUGCUAAGGUAACAGGAGAAGAGCAGAAAGCUGCAGCCUGUUGCUAAGACAAGGCAGCUUCCAAGUCCUGACCAUGACCACAACAGGCACCCCACGUGGAAGAGAAACUCCAAUGAAAGAGAACAUGGCUUUAUGUCUCUUAGUGGAAAUAUUUGCAAAAGCCAAGCACAGCACCAGUACUAAACAUGGACCCAUGAAAGAAGAACAUGGGCUUGGGAUGGAGCUACAGGUCCUGCUGCAUUGGCCCCCGUCUGAUCUUCAGAAUUUCUGCUUUGUGCCCAGCCAACAAGGUACAGAAGCAGUCAAGCAGGAGGACAAGUUCUCAGGAUCUGCCUAUCAUCUUUCCCUGCCUGGAAGGAAGCACAUCUCCCGGAUGAUCAGAAGUGUCCAGAAAUCACAAUGGGAGGUUAAAAUGUAUAGAUGUAUUACAUCUGUUUGUCACCAUGAAGUCUGAACAACUUACAGACAAAAAAAAAAAUCUCGGAAAUCAAAUCUUUGGGAAAUAACGAUGAAUAAGAAAGCCCCCAGAACAGACGUUUUCAUCACAGCUUUGAAUCAGGAACAAAUUUCAAAGCAGCAAGAUUAUUCACAAAGCAUAUCAUAGGUUUUACUGACUCUACAUAACAGUAUUUAUCUAUUCUUACGUAAAAGCUUCCCGUUACAGAGAAAAACACCACUAUUUCCCACAUGAUUUGUCCUGAAUAAAGAUCUGCCUCAGUAACGGCCAGGCCAUACCCAUCUAAUCUCAAGAAGACUGAACAAAUUCUACCACCUACAGAAAAGCCAUCUCUAUCUGCAUCUGCCCUCUUAGGGCUUACAUGUGGGAAUCAACAAGAAAAAUGGCACUUGGCCAAAGGACUCUUGCCUUGUCUUGCACUCUGUGACAUAAUCAAAACUAGCUGUUGAAAUAAUAUUGAGUCAACUGGUGGACUCAAAGUUGAAGUGCAUCUUGUGUGUGCCCACGAAUACAAAGCUAGUCACUGUCUGAUCUUAACCACAAAUACAACUUUAUGUUUGAGGGUGUGUGCACUCAGUUCUCCCUUUCUACUUUACCAUGCAUGUUAGUAAGAUACUGGGUAGACAAUUGACAAUAAAAAAUCUCACUAUUAAAAAAGGGCAUUGGUGCAACAAAAUAUUGCUGUUUAGAGUGGAAAGUGAGCAAGGACUCCUCUUGAGAGAUGGAAAAAUCCAGGUAUAGGUCAGCAUGGAGGAAAAAGAAUGGUGGGCCAUUCUCUUACGUACUGAAUUUCACGUUCUGCACCUCAAGCUUAUUGAAGGACAUAAAAUAAGUACAGUUUUAGUCUGUACUGUCCCACAAGAUGCUCCUUCUAGCACACGAAUUUCCACAGAGGUCAUGAGAACAUAUAUUCCAUAAAGACUGCUUAUUUGCACACAAAAAUGGGGUGGGUGAUAAGGAAAACAAGCUUUUUGUAACCUCCUGGAGCAUUAAAACAGAC
Long non-coding RNA from Gallus gallus (chicken), 1710 nucleotides. The record is from Ensembl. Lineage: Eukaryota; Metazoa; Chordata; Aves; Galliformes; Phasianidae.